This 15473-nucleotide long non-coding RNA is filed under the name Xyrichtys novacula (pearly razorfish). Lineage: Eukaryota; Metazoa; Chordata; Actinopteri; Labriformes; Labridae. The record is from RNAcentral.
AGUCAGGAUCUGAGGAAGUUCCAGUUUUUGUGAGAGAUCUUGAAUGUAAACUCUACCCCUCCCAACCAGUUUUCCCCUCAGCUCCUCCUCUCCCCUCCCUCUCUGCUCCAGAAAGCCCCGCCUACAAACAGACGCUCCUGCUCGCUCGUAUCGUUCCAAUUAAAUUCAGAUAUAAUGCAGAUAAAUACUUCAGAUAAUUACAAAUGGGGCCCUGUCAAGGUGAAAGUAAAAAGCAUUGGUGCUACUGUAGAUGCCAACAGACUACCAGCAAACACAAUGUUUGCAGGACUUCUACAACUAGGAUAAAGUGACAUAGUCCAGGACCCGAGGUCAACAGUUUAGUGGCGCUGCAACAUGCAGCAGGUCCCGUUUGACAAGAAACACUUCUAUUACACUUGGCUUACUUUGUUAAAGCGGUUUACCUGUCCAGCAGAAAGGUUACAGGGUCCGUAAGAUCCCGAAGCCUACCCCAUCAUUGUUGACCCGGCUUCUUAGCUCUUGUCCGGUCUACCUCCGUUUCAACCUACCUCCGGUAUUUACUUCAGGCAGUCGUGGCCAAAGAAGGAUUCAGACAAGUUUCCGAACUUUCUGGUUGGUUUCUACUGUCCGAUAUUGUACCACGCUAACUUUGUUUGGGCUCCUGAACGACACAGGGGAGCAGCGUCCUUCCCACUUUGUGCUAUUUCAGCCGUUCAACUUUUAAACUAUUCCUCUCCUUCAGGACAUGUGCGGAUGUAUUUUUCACUUUUCUACCCUUUGUACUUUUUGAUAUUUUUUACUUUUUGUGCAAAUUUUUUUCCCAUUGAAAUGAAUGGGGAAAUCUUCAAAUUCUACCUUUUACACUUCUACCUUCUCAGUCUUAUAACUUCAGCAUACUCUCACCUACAGACCUCAUCUUUGCUUUAAAAUGUUCAAUCUUCUCCUCUAAAUAUGUUGUAUUAACUUUUUUGUGCUAUCUUCUACAGUUUUACCACAAUUUAGCUUUGAGCACCUCAUGGUUUUCAGCAAAUUUUCAGGCUUUACAAUGGGUGUGUAUUGGAGAAGAUAGAGCUGAUGAUGUCAUCGCUAGAGUGGAGAGACCUUUUUUGAUCGACAAAACCUCGCUCGAAUAUAUCACUCCCACGCCCACAAAUUUCACUCCACAGCCAUAAAAAAUACAUCAAAACGGAGGAAGAUAAGUCCUGCUUCUCACAAAAGAGGUUUCAAAUCAUUAAAUCGUACCCCUUGGCCAGCAGGUGACCAACUGUCCAAAAAUGGCAGAGGUUCCUCCCAUUGACCGUAAUGUAAUCUUUCUCCAAGAAAAUCCUGAUCAUCACUGAGGGUUGAAUCUGUUUAACUCGCUGUUGUGGCCACAUUUUUUAGAGUGCAGACAUGAAAAACACAUCAUUGUAUUCUUUAGGACUUCAGGACUCCUACGAUGUUCUAAUUUUCAUUCUGGGAUUUAAGUAAAUCGCGCUAUGUGAAGAAGUAUGGGGCUCUAAAUUCACUGCAGUUAGGCCUUUGCAGUUGGUCCUUUGAUCUGUUUAGAAUGCAUUGAUAAACAGACACACACACACACACACACACACACACACUCUGACAAUGUGUGUGCGUUAGUCUCUCUCUAUGACACCAGUCCUUGUCUUCCCCUCUGUCUCAGUAAUAACAAGAAAAAAAAAAGAAAUAAAUUCUCACUUUGUUCAAGAGUCGUGUCAGGGCAUUUUCUUCAAUCAGGUAAUACGCUCCUCCUCUAAGAUUUGCCAAGACAUACUUUAACCUGUCCCUCCCUGAUAUAAAAGUGAAAGUUUACUUAACGACAGCAGCGCUGCCGUCAGGACGAGUCCAUUUGCUCCUCUGUAAAGACAUAUUCAUCAGGAGAAUAAACCAUCAACAACCGGUGAGUACUCUGCUUAAAAACACUAACUUCUGAACGGUAUUUUGUUAAACUUGACCACAAAACAGUUUCAAAAACCAAACUACAGUGACUGUACUCAGGCUGGUCUAAACUCUACAAAGUGCUAAUGUUGAGCUAUUUCACAGACUUUUGUCAUCCUGUUUCAGUCAUGAAGUUUUGAUGCUUUCAAAUCUCACUGAUUGAGUUUGUUGGGCACAUUCACAGAUAAGUCAGCAGGUAUAUUCAGCCUUCACACAGAAAACACCAGAUUAACUCAUUCAGCUACUUACAAACCAGCCGAGCUCUCUGCUGUUGGAAAACGCCCGCUGGUUUCAUGAGUUCAGAAAGUGACGUAACCAGAAUUCUUGUUCAUGUUUCAACUUGAAGCUUUUUUAUAUAUCAGAGUUCCUGCUGUUUGACUUUAUAACAAGAAUUGUUGUUCCUGUUUUAACAAGAUGGAUGGGUGUGUCUGACACCAAACUCAAAGUCGGCUUAUUUCCUGUUCAAAAUUAACGAACAGUAAAAUUCUCCCUUAGUGCCAAGAUAUAUGAGUCAUCUCAACCUGCCAACCUGAGGACGUCUCCUAACUGGUUGACUGGCUCACAGUCUUUAGAUGCGAUCACUCUGUGACUUUAAAUCUUCAUCAGAUAUUGAACUUUUUAACAGCUGGAGGUUUUCUUGACUUUCAGGAUCAUUAGUGUGUCCAAGUCCACUGACACACAGAGUAUUGUGAUCAAAGUUUGACCUUCUUUCUUGUUACAUUGUUAGAGGAUGCUGUAGACUUUCAGGUGAGGUCAGAGUUCAGAUGAGUCAAAGUCUCCAGGAUUUUAAAAAUAUUGUUCUGCUUUUUCCAAAAACACUCUGCAGUCUUUCCUUUUUCCAGAUUUAGGCCAGAAUUUAACUGAAAGUCACCAAAUUAUUCAUGACAGUAUCACGAUGAUGAUGACAAGGAUAGACUCAAAAAUAGAUCUACAGUAUAUGUUUAGUGUUUUAAUGUGUUGAUCUUCCACUGAUAAUCCUCAGGUUGUAAAAAUGUCUGCUGCCAGCUGUCUGCUGACUGAAGAUCAGUUCCGGUGCUCCAUCUGUCUGGAUGUCUUCACUGAUCCUGUCACCAUACCAUGUGGACACAACUUCUGUAAAUCCUGCAUCUCUCAACACUGGAAUGUCAGUGUUCCACAUCGGUGUCCAAACUGUAAAGAGGUUUUCUUCAGAAGACCAGAGCUGAAGAGCAACACCUUAAUCUCUGAGAUUUCCGCUCAGUUCAGACAGUCAGCUCAUCAGGAAGCCAGCAGCAGCAGCUCAAAGGAACGAGUUUCCAAACCAAGAGAAGUUCCCUGUGAUUUCUGCACUGGAACCAAACUGAAGGCCCUCAAGUCCUGCCUGGUGUGUCUGGCCUCCUACUGUGAGACUCACCUGGAGCCUCACCUGACAAUGUCAGGUCUGAAGAGACAUCAGCUGAUGGAGCCUGUGGAAAACCUGGAAGGAAGAAUAUGUGAGAAACACGACAAACUGCUGGAGCUGUUCUGUAAGAACGACCAGAUGUGUGUCUGCGUGCUCUGCAGUGUUAAAGACCACAGGACCCAUGAUGUUGUUCCUCUGAGAGAAGAAUAUAAAGGAAAGAAGGCCGAGCUGGGGAAGACAGAGGCUGAAAUUCAGCAGAUGAUCCUGCAGAGACGACUGAAGAUUGAAGAGCUCAAAGAGUCAGUGGAGCUCAGUAAUCAGAAUGCAGACAGAGAGAUGGCUGAAGGUGUGGAGGUCUUCACGGCUCUGAAAGAACCUGUAGAGAGAAGCCAGGCCGAGUUCAUCCACACCAUCAAAGAGAAGCAGAGAGAGACGGAGGAACAGGCUGAAGGCUUCAUCACAGAGCUGCAACAGGAAAUCUGGGAGCUGGAGAAGAGGAGCUCUGAGCUGGAGCAGCUCUCACACUCUGAAGACCACCUCCACCUCCUCCAAAACUUCACCACCCUGAACGCUGCUCCACCCACCAAGAACUGGACUGAAGUCCGAGUCCACCCACCUUCAUAUGAGGGGACUGUGGUGAGAGCUGUGGACCAGCUGGAGAAGAUGCUCAGGAAACUGAAGAAGAAGCUGAUUGAGGCCGAGCUGAAGAGAGUCCAGCAGUGUGAGGUGGAUGUGACACUCGAUCCUGAUACAGCACAUCCAGCUCUCAUCCUGUCUGAUGAUGGAAAACAAGUUUAUUGUGGUGAUGUGAAGAAGAGUCUACCAAACAAUCCAGAGAGAUUCAGUAAAUACAUUAUGGUCUUAGCAAAGCAGAGUUUGUCUUCAGGCAGAUUUUACUUUGAGGUUCAGGUUAAAGGGAAGACUGACUGGACUUUAGGAGUAGUUAGAGAGUCCAUCAACAGGAAGGGAAAAAACUCUCUGUCUCCUCAGAAAGGUUUCUGGACAAUUUGGUUGAGAAAUGAAAAUGAGUACACAGCUCUUGAUGACCCUCCUGUCAAUCUCUGUCUGCAGUCUGUUCCUGAGAAGGUGGGGGUGUUUGUGGACUAUGAAAAGGGUCUGGUCUCCUUUUAUGACGUUGAUGCUGCAGCUCUGAUCUACUCCUUCACCGGCUGCUCCUCUAAAGAAAAACUCUUUCCAUUCUUAAGUCCCUGCGACAACUAUGGUGAUAAAAACUCUGCUCCUCUGAUCAUCUCUCCGGUCAAUCACACUGAGUAGAUGUUCUGAACAACGAUAACCAUCAUUAAUAGAAUAAAUCUACAUUAUUAUGAUGUUUUUACUUUAAAAUUCACAUCAGUAUGGAUACCAACAAUUUAAGUCCAUCUUUUUUUAAAUAUGCAGCAUUACUUCUUACUUCACUAAACCAAUGUUACAGUUUUGAUCAGUUUAAUCAAGUGUUAUUUUAUCAGUGUUCAGAACUUCUUUACCUUCACACCAGACUGUUAAAUCAGCUCAAAUCCUACUCAUCAUUCUUUAUUCUCAUCUUUAAAGUCUCUCUGCUGAGUUUAAGACCUCAUCUUUCUCUGAUCGUACCAGCAAAUGUCACUAAUGUCAAAGGGCUCUAUUUUCAUGUACGCCGGCGAGGCGACGGAGGGUGGCGGACCCCGCGCAGUUGUAUUUUUGUCUGGCGGAGCCCGGCAUAAAGCCAGUUUGGUAUUUUCGUGGACUGAGGCACACGGAGGCGAACCGAGGUCCGCCAAGCUGGGCGUGGUGGGGUGGCAGGGGGAGGUGUCGACAGAAUCAGCGGGCGCAGUGACAUUUUCGUGCUCGCCAGUGUCGUGUAAAGUGCACUGAAAGCUCGCCGAUUCAAACCUGGUCAGCUUUCAGUGCAGGCGGAGCGCAGCUGGUCUAGUGGUAAUUUGGUAGACCAGCGGCGUAUCGGCAUACGUCACCAAUGCCUCACCGACAGGUUUCCACAGUGUCAGGCACAUUUCAGUGCAAUAAAUAAUAAUCAACAACUAAUAAUCUGAGUCAGCACAUACAUCUAGAUCUAUAUAGAUAUAUUCUGAUCUAUAUCUGAUCUGAUGAGCGCAUUUGGCACGCGUUUGGACACACAACCUGACCGAAUCAACACAGCUGAAACCGCAUUUAAUUGAAUUAAAUAUCUAGUAAAUAGACACACAUGAUGAAGUUAACUAGAUAUGUAAUUCGUCUCCCUCCUUUUCUUUCUUCCUCUUCCUCUUAUUUUCGCGCAGCUCGACCUGGACAUGUCUCCAUGUCCUCUCUCCGUCUUGCUGCAGCGGCGGCUGAACAGAUGAUUUGUUUCAGUGCUCGGAUGCGUUAUCUACUUCAAGCCGACAUACGGAUAUUAUAAUAUUCAGUUUUGAGAGCCAAAUUUAUUUUAUAUGCCAACAUCUAUGAACGAAAGAGCCAGGCCACGGAGCGCGAUGCGUCAUUUAAUUUUAAUUUUAUUUUAAUUUUAAUGCCAUUUUUGGAGUUUAUGUUGUGAUCUGUGCGCACAACCCACCUUUGUCACGUGAGGUUUGAAUAUACGCAACUUUAUGUAAGUGUCUUAAUUAGUGGAAAAGGGUGUUUUUCUUACCCGUGGGUCCAACAUUACACACACCAAAUCCAUCUGUGCUCAUAUGAGAGAGUGUGGAGGAUACCCAAUGCAGCGCUUACAGUGACACUUGUUGAGCUGCUGCCCUUUGUCACCAUCGUGUGGCAUUACUAUCUUCAGACAUCUCUUGAUCUCUCUGACUACUUCACAAAAAUAGUAAUAUGCCUCGCCGGUGGCGGAUUUAAAGGCCAGGAGAGGAGCUUAUGUGAUUGGUGAAAACUGGUCUCGGCUGUUAAAUCCAUUCCACGCCCUCUCUCCUCCCUUGCAACGAUUUAAGCCGCUGGGAGGAGCUGAGUUAGGGAGGGGGGAUACUUACGCCGGGCUGCGCUGCUCACAAAAAUACCAAAUUGUGCUUGGGAACGCCUUGUUGGCGCAGCGGACCUGACUUAUGCCGCACCUGCGGCACGUCUCUGGCGAGGCACGAAAAUAGAGCCCAAAGAGUAUUUGUCAGAUAUGUCAAUAAUAAACAACUAAACUAACAGUCUGCUUUCUGUUCCAGUUAUUGCAGCGACAAUAACCACGGAUGAAUGAAUGAAUGGAUGAUUGUAAAAUUGACCACACCAGUCCAUCCAAAUAAAUCAGUAAAUGAGAAUUCUGGGUCUUUGGCGACUCAGUGGUCUAAAACAUUAAAACAUAUCGUAUAUCUGCAAUUGAGAACACAGAUCUAAUGGCCGAAAAGGCAAAAACACAUAAAUCAUGACUUUUUGGAUCAGCGACCGUCUGUGUGAGAUCAGAAAAAGUUUAAGUCUCUCUGUAAGUCUCUUCUCAGUCUGCCUUCAUCAAUGACUCCUCUUGUGAACAGACAUGUAAUAAACUGACUUCACAUCAUUCAUGUCUGAUUUUAAUGGUUGUACCAAGAAUGAGUUAUCACUUUAUAACUGUUUUUCUUGAUAAUAAUAUCUGGAAUUACAUUACAGGGCUGUACUGUGGUGAUAAAAUAGCAAGGCUUCAAGUGUUGUGACCUACUGAUGACAAGAACCUGUACUGACCCUGAAAAACAGAUAUCCAUAAACCCUUACUAAUUUGAGACACUUCCAUAAAAAAAUGCAAAUGAUGUUUUUGUUCAUUAACAAGAACAAAUAAAAGUAAAAACGUUGAUGUUUCAGCAUGUUAGUUCUCUAUUAUGUCGAUAUCAGAGUUAAUAACAGGAUUGUUCAAAACUGGACAAAAUCUAAAUAAACCAUCACAUCAUCAAAUUAAUAUUUAGUAGUCCUGCUGUUAGCAUGCAGUCGAGCUUGAACCCUGAUUGGUAUAUUCUCCACCAGCCUUUCACAUUGUUGAGGGGUAACCCUGUCUCAUUCUUGAAUCACUUCCUUUAAUUCUUCCAGUUUCUUUGGUGUAAGCUUUAAAACUAUAAACUGUUUAUAGAAUGGACGCUGUCUGCCUCCUCGCUGGGUGAAGCCACCGCGAGAACAGCGACCUCUGGUGACGGGCUGCAGUAUAGGUCAUAAAUCCCUCCUCCUCCAGCAAUCCCUAUGGAGCUGUGGACAAACUUUAGAAAUUAAUUACACAGAAUAUAAAUGUUUCUCCCCCCUGGUUGUGAUGUUGACAUGUAGUUACAGUAAGACUGGUUUGUGCUCAAGUCCGUUUUUUUCUGUACAGCUCCGUUUUUAAAAGUUAUUAGGGGGUUCAUGUUUUCUUUGAUUGACACUUGAUACAGCCUAUGGGCGUAUGAAGAUUAUGUAGCUCAUCCGCGGCAUAUGCUGUUUGAGCAGAGCGUCAUCACAGCGACUCUCCCACUGAAUGCGUACAACGCUACUGCACAAGUGGUGGUUCCAGGAAGUGGAGAAUAUCCCGGAAAUACCGAGAGCAAUUCGGCUUCAAAUUCAUAUGAUGGCUGAAGGCGAAGCCAAGUUGUCCAUAGUAUAUACAGUCUAUGUUUGAAAUGGACUUCUUGAUAAACCAAAUCCACAGAUUUGGGAAUCACCUAGCAUCCAGUUUCAACCUGGACAGACCUGUGCACGUGCAGGAGGGAGCAUGUGGGUUUCAAGAACGCCACAAAACUUUGCAGAGUUCAGUGUACCAUCACAGACAGUGAGAUGUCCAACACCAGCAGCACUCGCACAUCCCCAAACCAGGAUACCACCUCCACUAUGCUUGACGGUAGCUACUGUACAUGUUGGAGAUAAUGCUUCACCUAACCUUCUGCGUACACUCACAUUAACAGAAGGAGGAUUAAACUGGAAACUGGACUCAUCCCACCAAAGAAUCUUCUACUAGUUCCUGGCUGUCCAGUUUUUGUGUGCUUGGUCUCUCACUGAUCAGGGGCUUCUUGACAGCUUUGCCGGACCUCAAGCCAUGAUCUAGGAGUCGGCCAUGUACAGUGCAGGUGGAACACUGGACACUGGUUUGGUUAGACCACUGCUGCUGAAGCGCGUGUGAUGUCAUUUGGUGGUUUUCCCUGCACAGGAUCAGGACCAGGAUGCAGUAAUUUCUUCAAACAUGCUGACUUUACAUCGACACAAAGGACAACAACAAAACUGUGUCUACAAUAAAAGGCAUGACUAGAGUCAUUAGUGAUCAGUGGUACCAAAAUGACUCAAUAUUCAAAAUCUCUUACAUAUUUCUAUUAACUUAAUCAAUAUGAUGUUUUUACUGGCUUUUAUGAUUGGACUAGUGUUUUGGUUGAGAUUGUACAAGGCCUUGGACGAUAAUCAAUAAAUCAAUUAACCGCACGAUAAGUGAAAAGGAACUCAAUAAUUUUUCCGGCCUUGAUAUAUCGCCAUGUGCACGCGUGUAUUUGUUUUCCUCGUCUUGCGCCUCCAAACACGCUGGAUGACACGAUGGUUCACUCUGUGCAUCGGUGUCAGCACCUGGGCGCGUUUGUGCCUUAGCGGAAUCUAAUGAAGAGAGUGAACCAUCUUGUCAGUCUUUCAGGAUCUUUGUAUCUGAUGGGGGAGAUGCCGCAGAUCCGCAAGCGCACAAGACAGAGUAGACUAGUUAGCCACGUGAGGGGCAUGGAAGAGCAAAGCCAAAGGCCACAGCCCCGGUGUGGGAAUAUUUCGGCUUCAAGCCCAAUGAGCAAGGUGGGAUCAUCAACAUAGACGAACCAGUAUGCCAACUUUGUUUAAAAAUGGUAGCAACAAAAUAAGGCAACACCACAAACUUGCAUGCCCACCUCAAACACUAUCACCUGGUCGAGUUUUCCCAGCUGGGAAAAAAAAAAACCCAAGAUGCAGAACCGUCGGCCCGACAGUCAACGCUUACUGAAGCGUUUGGUUGAUAAAGCAAGAUACAGUCAGAACAGCGCAAAAUGUUGUGCGCUCACAGAAAGUGUUGUUCACUACAUUGCCAAAGAAAUGCUGCCAUUUAAUACAGUUGAAAAGCCAGCAUUUUAUUGUUGUUCGUUUGUUUUAUUUAUUUAGGAUAUUUAAAAGUUUUCGUUCUGGACAGUCCAAUGAGAAAUGAAGGUUUGAUUGUUGCAUCUGAAAGGGUGUACUUGCAUUAUGAUAUAUUAACAUUACACAAGUGGUUAUAUUGGUCUAGAUAAUGUCAACAAUGAUAUUGUUUAUCGUCAAUAAUUUGUGGGCCAAUUUAUCGUCCAGCAAAAUUUGUUAUCGUCCCAGGCCUGGAUUGUACGAAAAGAAAUUGCACUUGGAGACUGAAAAGUGAUUCCUCAUGCAAUAUAUCACAAACACACGAGGCAUCCAAAAACUUUUCUCCACAAUCGUUGAGUAAAGGUUGGUGUUGGUGGUGUUGGUGGUCCCUCAUACCAACAGGAAUCACAAACUUCACAAGUGAACAAAGGCCAGCUUUCAUUUACUUGUAGUUUCAUAUUUCUAAUAUCGACUAUGGAAAUGUGGAAGAAAACUCAUCGACUUCCAUGCACCACAGCCCUAAACAGCACAACAUAAUUCUCUUGAAUGUAACCUACUUGGGAUAUUGUGUUUGUAAUUUUCUCACAUUUUUAAAAAAUACAGAAGCAGACAUGCGUCCAUACGUUGCAAUUUACUCCAUUUUCACACAUUAACAAGUUAACUUAAGUUGUUAUCAGGCUUUUGAAAUUGUUGAUUUUUGCUAAUAAACUUUUUGGCACGUCUGAAAUCCAUCUCUAGGGAGGGUUAUUUCAUGAUAGGUUCUUGUUAGUUUAGUUUUUUUGUCACCCUGUGUGUUAUUAGUCCUUGUCUUCCCCUCUGUCUCGGUAAUAACAAGAAAAAACAAGAAAUAAAUUCUCACUUUUUUCAAGAGUCGUGUCAGGGCAUUUUCUUCAAUCAGGUUAUACACUCCUCCUCCUAGAUUUGCAAAGACAUACUUUAACCUGUCCCUCCCUGAGAUAAAAGUGAAAGUUUACUUAACCACAGCAGCGCUGCCGUCAGGACGAGUCUGUUUGCUCCUCUGUAAAGACAAAUUCAUCAGGAGAAUAAACCAUCAACAACCGGUGAGUACACUGCUUUAAAAAGCAGAAAAAACACAAACUAACUUGUCAACAGUAUUUUGUUAAACUUGACCACAAAGCUGCUUCAAAAACCAAACUACAGUGACUGUCCUCAGGCUGGUCUAAACUCCACAAAGUGCUAAUGUUGAGCUAUUUCACAGACUUUUAUCAUCCUUUUUCAGUCAUGAAGUUUUGAUGCUUUCAAAUCUCACUGAUUGAGUUUGUUGGGCACAUUCACAGAUAAGUCAGCAGGUAUAUUCAGCCAUCACACAGAAAACACCAGAUUAACUGGUUCAGCUACUUACAUUCCAACCUGAUGGAUGGGUGUGUCUGACACCAAACUCAAAGGUGGCAUAUUUCCUGUUCAAAAUUAACGAACAAUAAAAUUCUCCCUUAGUGCCAAGAUACAUGAGUCAUCACAACCUGCCAACCUGAGGACGUCUCCUAACUGGUUGACUGGCUCACAGUCUUUAGAUGCGAUCACUCUGUGACUUUAAAUCUUCAUCAGAUAUUGAACUUUUUAACAGCUGGAGGUUUUCUUGACUUUCAGGAUCAUUAGUGUGUCCAAGUCCACUGACACACAGAGUAUUGUGAUCAAAGUUUGACCUUCUUUCUUGUUACAUUGUUAGAGGAUGCUGUAGACUUUCAGGUGAGGUCAGAGUUCAGAUGAGUCAAAGUCUCCAGGAUUUUAAAAAUAUUGUUCUGCUCUUUCCAAAAACACUCUGCAGUCUUUCCUUUUUCCAGAUUUAGGCCAGAAUUUAACUGAAAGUCACCAAAUUAUUCAUGACAGUAUCACGAUGAUGAUGACAAGGAUAGACUCAAAAAUAGAUCUACAGUAUAUGUUUAGUGUUUUAAUGUGUUGAUCUUCCACUGAUAAUCCUCAGGUUGUAAAAAUGUCUGCUGCCAGCUGUCUGCUGACUGAAGAUCAGUUCCUGUGCUCCAUCUGUCUGGAUGUCUUCACUGAUCCUGUCACCAUACCAUGUGGACACAACUUCUGUAAAUCCUGCAUCUCUCAACACUGGAAGACUAACACCUCCUGUCAGUGUCCAAACUGUAAAAGGGUUUUCAACCCAAAACCUGAGCUACACGUCAACACCUUCAUCUCUGAGAUGUCCGCUCAGUUCAGACAGUCAGCUCAUCAGGAAGCCAGCAGCAGCAGCUCAAAGGAACAAGUUUCCAAACCAGCAGAAGUUCCCUGUGAUGUCUGCACUGGAACCAAACUGAAGGCCCUCAAGUCCUGCCUGGUGUGUCUGGCCUCCUACUGUGAGACUCACCUGGAGCCUCACCUGACAAUGUCAGGUCUGAAAAGACAUCAGCUGAUGGAGCCUGUGGAGAACCUGGAAGGAAGGAUAUGUGAGAAGCACGACAAACUGCUGGAGCUGUUCUGUAAGAGCGACCAGAUGUGUGUCUGCGUGCUCUGCAGUGUUACAGACCACAGGACCCAUGAUGUUGUUCCUCUGAGAGAAGAAUAUGAAGGAAAGAAGGUCGAGCUGGGGAAGACAGAGGCUGAAAUUCAGCAGAUGAUCCAGGAGAGACGACUGAAGAUUGAAGAGCUCAAAGAGUCAGUGGAGCUCAGUAAUAAGAAUGCAGACAGAGAGAUGGCUGAAGGUGUGGAGGUCUUCACGGCUCUGAAAGAAUCUGUAGAGAGAAGCCAGGCCGAGUUCAUCCACACCAUCAAAGAGAAGCAGAGAGAGACGGAGGAACAGGCUGAAGGCUUCAUCACAGAGCUGCAACAGGAAAUCUGGGAGCUGGAGAAGAGGAGCUCUGAGCUGGAACAGCUCUCACGCUCUGAAGACCACCUCCACCUCCUCCAAAACUUCACCACCCUGAACGCUGCUCCACCCACCAAGAACUGGACUGAAGUCCGAGUCCAUCCACCUUCAUAUGAGGGGACUGUGGUGAGAGCUGUGGACCAGCUGGAGGAGACGCUCAGGAAACUGAAGAAGAAGCUGUUUGAGGCCGAGCUGAAGAGAGUCCAGCAGUGUGAGGUGGAUGUGACACUCGAUCCUGAUACAGCACAUCCUGAUCUCAUCCUGUCUGAUGAUGGAAAACAAGUUUAUUGUGGUGAUGAAGAGAAGAAUCUACCAGACAAUCCAGAGAGAUUUGAUCGUUGUGUUAAUGUUUUAUCAAAGCAGAGUUUGUCUUCAGGCAGAUUUUACUUUGAGGUUCAGGUUAAAGGGAAGACUGAGUGGGAUUUAGGAGUAGUUAGAGAGUCCAUCAACAGGAAGGGAGACAUCACCCUGACUCCUGAGGAUGGUUUCUGGACGAUUGUGUUGAGAAAUAAAAAUGAGUACGAAGCUUGUGCUAGCCCUUCAGUCCGUCUCUCUCUUCAGUCUGCUCCUGAGAAGGUGGGGGUGUUUGUGGACUAUGAGGAGGGUCUGGUCUCCUUUUAUGACGUUGAUGCUGCAGCUCUGAUCUACUCCUUCACCGGCUGCUCCUUCAAAGAAAAACUCUUUCCAUACUUUAGUCCCUUUCUAAACGAUGGUGGUAAAAACUCUGCUCCUCUGAUCAUCUCUCCGGUCAAUCACACUGAGUAGAUGUUCUGAACAACAAUAACCAUCAUUAAUAUAAUAAAUCUACAUUAUUAUGAUGUUUUUACUUUAAAAUCCACAUCAGUAUGGAAACCAACAAUUGAAGUCCAUCUUUUUUUAAAUAUGCAGCAUUACUUCUUACUUCACUAAACCAAUGUUACAGUUUUGAUCAGUUUAAUCAAGUGUUAUUUUAUCAGUGUUCAGAACUUCUUUACCUUCACACCAGACUGUUAAAUCAGCUCAAAUCGUACUCAUCAUUCUUUAUUCUCAUCUUUAAAGUCUCUCUGCUGAGUUUAAGACCUCAUCUUUCUCUGAUCGUACCAGCAAAUGUCACUAAUGUCAAAGUGUAUUUGUCAGAUAUGUCAAUAAUAAACAACUAAACUAAGAGUCUUCUUCCUGUUUCAGUUGUUGCAGCGACAAUAACCACGGAUGAAUGAAUGGAUGAUUGUAAAAUUGACCACACCAGUCCAUCCAAAUAAAUCAGUAAAUAGGAAUUCUGGGUCUUUGGAGCCUCAGUGGUCUCAAGGCCUCAAGUGUUGUGACCUACUGAUGAUCAGAACCUGUUCUGACCCUGAAAAACAGAUAUCCAUAAACCCUUACUGAUUUGAGACACUUCCAUAAAGGAUUCUUGUCAGCCUCUUUUCAUGAUGAAUUAACAUCUAAACAAAUACUUUAAUUCAGUUUCCUGUCCGUUCACUUAUCUCCCUGCUUUCAGUUGUUUCAUCUUUUGCCAUUAUUUACUGACAACAUGUGAAAGAUAUCACUGGUUUAUUUCUAUAUGAAUAAUCUUACUGAUAAUAUUGAUUGAAGUGUAUUGGAAGUGAUAUAAUCAUGAUUAAAUGUGCUCACUUCAAAACAUCAACAGUCUCUGUGGCCCUGAGACUCUCCAGCAGACUGUUCCACAAACGGGGACCAUAGAAACUGAAAGCCGCCUCCUCGUGAGUUUUUGCAAACUUUGUAAGAUUUCUGAGGUUUUGUUUUCCCACUUCAAGCCUCCAGUUUACUCCCUCUGUUCCUGUUUUUUUCCUUUUAUAGACGGCCCCAGAGUGAGACGGUGAAGUCGAGUUUCAACUGCAAGAAUCUCCCCAGACGGAUGAGAGACGGAUGAGACAUAAGAACAAGCUGAAGCUGAACUCAACUUCACACACUUGAGACGAUACAAAGACUCAAACCGCUUCAGUCUAGAGGGUCAGAGGUCAGGUCAGAAAAACACCCCAAAAUCAAAACGCUGUGAACUUCGAGAUGACCUGAGAGGGCUGUAUCUACUUUGUCCACUAGAUGGCGUGCUAGAGCUGAAAAUAAUUUGCUCAGAUAAGAAUAACAGGAACCUUUAGAGUUUAUUUUAAUCUGUUUUAGGACCAAAUCAGAGGUUUUCUUGGACAUUCAGAUCUUUAAUAGUACAUGGUUACUGCACAAGAAUUAUCACACUGUUGAUUCUCACUGAGGGAUUUAUGAGCAUAGGUGUCCAUGUUCAUGUUUUCUGUGGACCAUUUCUUCUAUUUAUUAAAUCAAGUUUGGCUACAAGUAAUAAUGUGAUGUUUAAGUUUAUGUAAACGUUCAUACUUUCCUUAAAUCUACCACAGAUGUUUAGCUCGAGUAAACGGCGUGUUACAUAAAUGAUUUAAUUAUUCAUGGAGCACAGGAUGUUCUUCUUUUCUCAGUUUCUGUCUGGAAAUUAAAAUGUCUAUUUGAGUUAAAAGCUGUGUGAGGAAAGUAAAAACAUCUGAUUUAAGACCGAUUUAGAAAAAGCAAGCAAAAACAAACUUCUCAAAAAUUGAAAUGAGAUUAAUCUUGAUCACAUAACCGAAAUAAUUUCAACAUAUCCGAGGUUUUUUGGUGUUUCUCGUGGAGUUUAUCCGGAUCGAUGACUCCCCCAUCAUCCACCUCCCCCGCCUUCUUUAACCCUCUUGUUAUUAAUCUUUUUAAUCAUAUCAGCAUUUCUGUGAGAUUUUACCUUUUCAAGCAUUUUAAUAAUAUUACAGACCAUGAACUUAUUGUCCCCUUUUAAAGCUGUUAAAUAAUAUGUAUUAUUCUUUUACCUUUUCACAUACUAUUUUUAACAUGUAACAGAUGAGAAUAUAGUACUUUCAACUUGUCACACUUAGCUCUUGUCCGGUCUACCUCCGUUUUAAGCGCCCGUUAUUCCUCCAGAGUCUCCGAUAUUUACUGUGUUUUCUUGCUUGUGUCGGCAGUCGUGGCUAAGGGAGGAUUCACGCAAGUUUCUGUACUUUCUGGUUGGUUUCUACUGUCCGAUAUUGUAUCACGCUAACUUUGUUUGGGCUCAUGAACGACACGAAAAGUCAAUAUUUACAAAAAUGAAAGGUAGUUUUAUGAAUAAUGAUAAAAAUAGUUAAAUACUAAUUUAUAAAACACAACAGAUAUAGAGCAUUUUCUUUUCUUUUUCUCUUUUUUUGGCUGGAACUUUUAUUUUUUGGUCACAACUAAACAGCUCAAAAAUCUCCUCUCUCUUUUCUCUCACUCCUCUCUCUCUUUUCCUCUCCACUCCUCUGUUAUAUGUAGUGCCUUAUUAAUUUGAGUUCAUUCUUUAAGUUGUUUGAUUCUGUGAUAGCUCUUAUUUUUCUUGUUGAUGAUGUAAGAUCACCUCAUAAUCUCAGGAAUGUAAUUUUUGGGUCAAAGUUUUCAAAUAUCCCGCAGUUAAGGCAGACCUUGAACGCC